This 393-nucleotide ribosomal RNA is filed under the name uncultured bacterium. RNAcentral's name for it is "partial 16S ribosomal RNA". It matches the Rfam family "Bacterial small subunit ribosomal RNA", at positions 523 to 918 of the family's 1533-position model. The record is from RNAcentral.
AUACGGAGGAUCCGAGCGUUAUCCGGAUUUAUUGGGUUUAAAGGGAGCGUAGGUGGAUUGUUAAGUCAGUUGUGAAAGUUUGCGGCUCAACCGUAAAAUUGCAGUUGAAACUGGCAGUCUUGAGUACAGUAGAGGUGGGCGGAAUUCGUGGUGUAGCGGUGAAAUGCUUAGAUAUCACGAAGAACUCCGAUUGCGAAGGCAGCUCACUAGACUGUUACUGACACUGAUGCUCGAAAGUGUGGGUAUCAAACAGGAUUAGAUACCCUGGUAGUCCACACAGUAAACGAUGAAUACUCGCUGUUUGCGAUACACUGUAAGCGGCCAAGCGAAAGCGUUAAGUAUUCCACCUGGGGAGUACGCCGGCAACGGUGAAACUCAAAGGAAUUGACGGGG